This 545-nucleotide ribosomal RNA is filed under the name uncultured bacterium. RNAcentral's name for it is "bacterial SSU rRNA". It matches the Rfam family "Bacterial small subunit ribosomal RNA", at positions 777 to 1322 of the family's 1533-position model. The record is from RNAcentral.
AAUAGAUACCCAGGUAGUCCACGCCCUAAACGAUGUCAACUGGUUGUCGGGGAAGUUAUUCCUUGGUAACGAAGCUAACGCGUGAAGUUGACCGCCUGGGGAGUACGGCCGCAAGGUUAAAACUCAAAGGAAUUGACGGGGACCCGCACAAGCGGUGGAUUAUGUGGAUUAAUUCGAUGCAACGCGAAAAACCUUACCUACCCUUGACUUGUCAGGAAUCCCGCAGAGAUGCGGGAGUGCCCGAAAGGGAACCUGAACACAGGUGCUGCAUGGCUGUCGUCAGCUCGUGUCGUGAGAUGUUGGGUUAAGUCCCGCAACGAGCGCAACCCUUGUCAUUAGUUGCCACAUUCAGUUGGGCACUCUAGUGAGACUGCCGGUGACAAACCGGAGGAAGGUGGGGAUGACGUCAAGUCCUCAUGGCCCUUAUGGGUAGGGCUUCACACGUAAUACAAUGGCCGGUACAGAGGGCUGCCAACCCGCAAGGGGGUAGCUAAUCCCAGAAAGCCGGUCGUAGUCCGGAUUGUUCUCUGCAACUCGAGAGCAUG